GAUUCUUUCAUUUUAUUCAAUUAAUUUCAAUACUAAACAAAAUUCUCUCUCUUUUUCUUUUUCUCUAUUUCUUUUUAAAUAAUAACCCUAUCUUCAUCGGUUAUGUCAUUGAAACAACAAUGAACUAGUUGUUCUUUGUAUAUAAAUAUUUGUCAAGCAAGAGGCCUUAACGAUCAGCUCGUCGUCGCUUUCGAUAGCGGGGAUUUGUCGGUACGGUCGCGGAGGAUGUGGUGGUCGAAGAUGGCAGUUGUUUCGGGCGGAAGGCGGCCGAGAAAACGAGGCUGUGAUCGGAGGAAAUUGUUUGACAUUACUUUGAUGAACAAAGGUAUGAUCAGAUAGUUCAUAAUUUGAAUCUACCGACUCGUAUUGGAGAAAUAUUGAUAUAUGACUCCGUUGAGUUACGUUAUAUGUUUGAAUGGGUGGAUGUAUUGAGAGAGAGCCGUGAGAUUGAGACUAUUUUCAUGUUACGAAAUAAAUAAAUUUAUCAUAGAGAUGUGAUAAAUCUCUAUUUCUCUCUCUUUUUUUUCAUUUUACUAUUUUGUGACAAAAUCACAUCCAAAUUGCAUCAA
Non-coding RNA from Benincasa hispida (wax gourd), 569 nucleotides. Lineage: Eukaryota; Viridiplantae; Streptophyta; Magnoliopsida; Cucurbitales; Cucurbitaceae. The record is from RefSeq and is a predicted model, not a curated record.